GAUGAAGAACGUAGCGAAAUGCGAUAAGUAAUGUGAAUUGCAGAAUUCAGUGAAUCAUCGAAUCUUUGAACGCACAUUGCGCCCGCCAGUAUUCUGGCGGGCAUGCCUGUUCGAGCGUCAUUUCAACCAUCAAGCCCCCGGCUUGUGUUGGGGACCCUGCGGCUGCCCGCAGGCCCUGAAAACCAGUGGCGGGCUCGCUGUCACUCCGAGCGUAGUAGCAUAUAUCUCGCUCAGGGCGUGCUGCGGGUUCCGGCCGUUAAAAGCCUUUUUUUUUUACCCAAGGUUGACCUCGGAUCAGGUAGGAAGACCCGCUGAACUUAAGCAUAUCAAUAAGCGGAGGA
This 341-nucleotide unclassified non-coding RNA is filed under the name soil metagenome. Its description in RNAcentral is "partial contains 5.8S ribosomal RNA, internal transcribed spacer 2, and large subunit ribosomal RNA". The stretch from base 1 to 120 matches the Rfam family "5.8S ribosomal RNA", at positions 35 to 154 of the family's 154-position model. The record is from RNAcentral.